CCUACGGGUGGCAGCAGUGGGGAAUAUUGCACAAUGGGGGAAACCCUGAUGCAGCGACGCCGCGUGAGUGAAGAAGGAUUUCGGUACGUAAAGCUCUAUCAGCAGGGAAGAAAAUUACGGUACCUGACUAAGAAGCCGCGGCUAACUACGUGCCAGACGCCGCGGUAAUACGUAGGGGGCAAGCGUUAUCCGGAUUUACUGGGUGUAAAGGGAGCGUAGACGGCAGCGCAAGUCUGGAGUGAAAUCCCAGGGCUUAACCAUGGAACUGCUUUGGAAACUGUGCAGCUAGAGUGCAGGAGAGGUAAGCGGAAUGCCUAGUGUAGCGGUGAAAUGCGUAGAUAUUAGGCGGAACUCCAGUGGCGAAGGCGGCUUACUGGACUGUAACUGACGUUGAGGCUCGAAAGCGUGGGGAGCAAACAGGAUUAGAUACCCGGGUAGUC
RNAcentral lists this ribosomal RNA (440 nucleotides) under uncultured bacterium. Its description in RNAcentral is "partial 16S ribosomal RNA". It matches the Rfam family "Bacterial small subunit ribosomal RNA", at positions 338 to 795 of the family's 1533-position model. The record is from RNAcentral.